This 253-nucleotide RNase P RNA is filed under the name Staphylococcus agnetis. Its description in RNAcentral is "ribonuclease P RNA component". It matches the Rfam family "Bacterial RNase P class B", at positions 35 to 289 of the family's 365-position model. From Rfam's summary of the family: Ribonuclease P (RNase P) is a ubiquitous endoribonuclease, found in archaea, bacteria and eukarya as well as chloroplasts and mitochondria. Its best characterised activity is the generation of mature 5'-ends of tRNAs by cleaving the 5'-leader elements of precursor-tRNAs. The record is from RNAcentral. Lineage: Bacteria; Bacillati; Bacillota; Bacilli; Caryophanales; Staphylococcaceae.
GAGGAAAGUCCAUGCUCACACAAUCUGAGAUGAUUGUAGUGUUCGUGCUUGAUGAAACCAUAAGUCAAGGCAAUACAUUUAUUGACGGCAACGACCUAACCUAAGUCUUUUGAUACGGUUACAAUAGUUUGAAAGUGCCACAGUGACGUAGCUUCAGUUAGAAAUAACGAAGGUGGAACGCGGUAAACCCCUCGAGUGAGCAAUCCAAAUUUGGUAGGAGCACUUGUCUAACGGAAAUGAACGUAUAGACGAG